CAGAGGGUCCAAGCGUUGUCCGGAAUCACUGGGUGUAAAGGGUGCGUAGGCGGGCUUGUAAGUCAGAGGUGAAAGCCCACGGCUUAACCGUGGAACUGCCUUUGAUACUGCAGGCCUUGAGUCCUGGAGAGGCUGCCGGAAUUCGUGGUGUAGCGGUGAAAUGCGUAGAUAUCACGAGGAACACCGGAUGCGUAGGCGGGCAGCUGGACAGGUACUGACGCUGAGGCACGAAAGCGUGGGAGCGAACAGGAUU
This 253-nucleotide ribosomal RNA is filed under the name uncultured bacterium. RNAcentral describes it as "partial 16S ribosomal RNA". It matches the Rfam family "Bacterial small subunit ribosomal RNA", at positions 526 to 779 of the family's 1533-position model. The record is from RNAcentral.